Non-coding RNA from Paramisgurnus dabryanus, 675 nucleotides. NCBI's taxonomy places the organism in Eukaryota, Metazoa, Chordata, Actinopteri, Cypriniformes, Cobitidae. The record is from RefSeq and is a predicted model, not a curated record.
UUACAGUCUUACCAUUGCUUGUAAACUGGAUUGGGUAAGAUGGAUCAUCUUUAAAGGCACCAGGCAAGUACAUGAUGUACAGUUACAAGUCAUGUAUUUUUUCGACUGCAAUAUUAAAUGCUUUCACGUCACAUGCAAAAUUACACAGGAAUGUGGCUGACUUUUUAUUUGUAGUUUACCUGAGUGUCAUUGCACUUUUCAGGAGUUAAGGCAGAUGUGGAGGCACAACGGGUGAUACCAGACACACACCAAGCACAUUAUGUUCGGACAUUCAAUCAUGACAGGAUCCAGGUGGAUGCUGUCCAUUGAGGAAAGAGUUUGUUCAGCGGUUUCUGGAUAGAAUUAAUUCCAAAGAUGGGAAAAAGUGCACAUCCAGACAAGGAGCAAGCAAAAAGACAAGGAACUUGGUGCAGAGAAAAGCUGUGGCCAUUAACCCCCAUGUGAACAGCUUCAUGCAGUCCCUGAUUGAGUUCGAAUGGACGACUUCAAAGUAAAGGCCACUGUGGUCUGUCUGCCACAGUUUAAUUUUUAAUUUAUUUUUAGUGUUCAAUGAAAUUCAAGUAGAAUAUUUAAAACUAUGGGCCAGUGUUGUUUUUACCACAGUGAAAUGUUACCUUUUAGUCGAUGAUGGACUUUAAACUGAAAACUUCAAACUAUGGAACGGUGUUCUAUUUG